RNAcentral lists this ribosomal RNA (498 nucleotides) under uncultured bacterium. RNAcentral's name for it is "partial 16S ribosomal RNA". It matches the Rfam family "Bacterial small subunit ribosomal RNA", at positions 30 to 523 of the family's 1533-position model. The record is from RNAcentral.
AUUGAACGCUGGCGGCAUGCCUUACACAUGCAAGUCGAACGGUAACAGGUCUUCGGAUGCUGACGGGUGGCGAACGGGUGAGUAAUACAUCGGAACGUGCCUAGUAGUGGGGGAUAACUACUCGAAAGAGUGGCUAAUACCGCAUGAGAUCUACGGAUGAAAGCAGGGGAUCGCAAGACCUUGUGCUACUAGAGCGGCCGAUGGCAGAUUAGGUAGUUGGUGGGAUAAAAGCUUACCAAGCCGACGAUCUGUAGCUGGUCUGAGAGGACGAUCAGCCACACUGGGACUGAGAAACGGCCCAGACUCCUACGGGAGGCAGCAGUGGGGAAUUUUGGACAAUGGGCGCAAGCCUGAUCCAGCAAUGCCGCGUGCAGGAUGAAGGCCUUCGGGCUGUAAACUGCUUUUGUACGGAACGAAAAGCCCUGGGUUAAUACCCUGGGGUCAUGACGGUACCGUAAGAAUAAGCACCGGCUAACUACGUGCCAGCAGCCGCCGUAA